UUUUUUUUCAACUGUGGAAUUAUUCUUCUUCUGGGCCCUCUGGAAAUGCAGUGGGAAAACCACUGAUAUGAAAAGGUAAACAUGUUGGAAGAAGACACUUGUAAAUUCCUUCUUAUUUCCAGGCAUCAUAAUGUAACUCACAAGAAACAAAUGAAGCAGGAGUCUUGGGCUUGGUUCUAGCUUUCCCCCAUCAUAGGCUGACAGUCGGCUUCUCAGGGUCUUGGUUUCUCACUAUAAAAGGAAUUGUUUGGCCUCUGUUAUCUGCUAAAGUCCUUCCAGCUUUAACAUUUUAUGAUUCUAGGAUCUUUGAAAAUUUCAUUAUUGGAAGGCCAAGGUUGAUUUUUGCUAUGAAUCAAAAAACAAAAACAAAAACAAAAACAAAAACCAGCCAAAAAACAACCAGAUAUUCCAAUAUAAAUGACCAGAUGCCCAGGGGACAACAGACACUUGAGGAAAGAAAGCAAGGGAGCAGGGAAGGCCUGGUAUGUCAAGUACAGUACAGAAAUACAGUGAGCCGAAGAAGACUUCAUGGCAUACCUACCUGAAAAGGGACAUUAAUACCAGUAAUGAGGGAUGCCUCGGUGGCUCAGCGGUUGAGUGUCUGCCUUUCGCUCAGGUCAUGAUCCCCGGGGUCCAGGAUGGAGUCCCACAUUGGGCUCCCUGCGGGGAGCCUGCUUCUCCCUCUGCCUGUGUCUCGGGCUCACUCUCUGUGUCUCUCAUCAAUAAAUAAAUAAAUCUUUAAAAAAAAAAACAGUAACGAGAGGUUUUGUUUGCUUUUUACCAUCAUCAAAGAGAAGACAUUUAAAUCAGACCAUUUGAUGAUCAUGGUGCAAAAGGUGCCCUAAGGGAAGGAAAUGAAGUAUUAUAGCUGAGACCAAAAGAAUUAUUUGUGGGGAAGCCACUGGGGAGAUUCUCCUUUCUAAAUUGUCGUCCAAGACAGAAAAACAAACAGAGCUAGACACAGAGAAUAUUCUGGGCCAUCUAGGAGAAAACCCUGAAGGAACUGUAUGUACAAUCAGAGAACAAAUCUUUGGUCUGUCACUAUGAACUAUUCUUGGGCCAGAGCUUGCUGGCAUGAUCCCAUUUUAUCAAGAACAUCAUGGAGGGCAGAACGGGCAUGGAGGGGACCAGGCUGAUUUCAGGACCCCAGCAGUGCAAUAACCCCUAACUAUCCUUCCAGCCUCUCUUUGGGAAGCAGAAACAAGUGGUACCCAGAAAAUUGGAUUACCAUGAGCUAUCCAUCUCUUCCUAAAGUGAUGCUAAAGUUCAAGUUCCGAAAGAAAUCUGGAAGGAAAGCAGAGAAGAGCUUUUCCCUUCUCUUUAAGAUGAUGAUACUGAUAAAUGACCAUAAGAAAAUAACUACCAUUUACUAAACACUUUCUGUGUACCAGUCUGUGGCACACUGGUCAUUGGUCUGGCUUUGAAAUAAAAGAGAAAAAUGGGACAGUGACUUUUUUUUUUUUUAAGAUUAUAGAGAACUGUGCCUUUUAAGAAAUGAUUUAGGUAGUAGAACUAAUCCAACCAUAUAUAAAAUAGGGGCCAUUUACAAUUUCACCUAAGGAAUCUGAAGUAAAAUAUCUAACAAUGAAAGUCAAGUAGCCUUUAUUUAUAGGAGAGGUGAGUUGCAGUUCAUGUGGUGUGAUCGAAGGUGUUAGGGAAGUCCAGCUGCUCAAAAUAUGUCUUCCUGACCCUCUUAAAAUACUGCCUGGAUUUACACCAUCAAAAUAAUCCCUUUUCAAUGUGGUUUGUAUUGUAAAAUGCACAUUUACUUCACAUUCAGCUGUUGUCAUGCUUCCUAGUGAAUAGUGGAGCAGGCUGACAACUAGCUAAGGACAUCAAGUGAGGAGACAAAGAUUUGAAGGAGGAAGGGGAGGGAUCCUGUCGGUAAGGGUGGCAUUGCUCUAGUCAGUUCCACAGCAUGUGGGCGCCUGAUAGGUCCCAGAUCCUGAGCUAGAUCCAAGAGAUUAGAAGGUAAGUAAAUAUGGUUCAUUGCCUC
Molecule: long non-coding RNA, 1996 nt
Filed under: Canis lupus familiaris (dog)
Lineage: Eukaryota; Metazoa; Chordata; Mammalia; Carnivora; Canidae
Description: lncRNA (ENSCAFG00000055702.1, ENSCAFG00805021719.1, ENSCAFG00845029278.1)
Source: RNAcentral